AAUCUGAUAGGAGGGAAAUGCUCACGCCACAAGCCUCGGCUUCCAAAAAAGGUCAUGCGAGAGGGGAGCGUCAACGAUACUAUGAAAUCCAUCCCCCUCACAACAAACUGCAGUCAUGCUGGCUAAGGUAGCUGCCAUCAAACGCUUUAUGCACAGCAAGCAGAUUAGAAGAAAGCAAUGUUUUACUGAUCUCAUCUGAUGCUCACAUGACGUCUUUCCAUAGCAAGAUCACUCUCAGCCAAUUGCUUUGAGAGAGAACAUCCAGCCACCACAGCACAGCACAGCAGAGCAUCACGUGACGUGACAGCCGGAUGGAAUCUGCGCAUGUGCACGUGCUGGGCAGCUGUAGGCUGCAGCGGCCGCUGACGUGCCAUUGGCUGAGGUUACUCUCAGUCAUUGACAUGAAGUCACUAGAUGCUCCGCUGGGGACAGUCCUAUGCUGCACCGAUCACAAUGCAUUAUUGUCGUCUCAUUUCAGAUGUCUUGAAUCAACUAUUAAAUUGAACAAGGGUAAUCAUA
Molecule: long non-coding RNA, 519 nt
Organism: Syngnathus typhle (broad-nosed pipefish)
Lineage: Eukaryota; Metazoa; Chordata; Actinopteri; Syngnathiformes; Syngnathidae
Exons: 2
Source: RefSeq, a predicted model, not a curated record